This 578-nucleotide ribosomal RNA is filed under the name uncultured bacterium. RNAcentral describes it as "partial 16S ribosomal RNA". It matches the Rfam family "Bacterial small subunit ribosomal RNA", at positions 355 to 923 of the family's 1533-position model. The record is from RNAcentral.
UGGGGAAUUUUGGACAAUGGGCGAAAGCCUGAUCCAGCAAUGCCGCGUGUGUGAAGAAGGCCUUCGGGUUGUAAAGCACUUUUGUCCGGAAAGAAAUCCUUGGCUCUAAUACAGUCGGGGGGAUGACGGUACCGGAAGAAUAAGCACCGGCUAACUACGUGCCAGCAGCCGCGGUAAUACGUAGGGUGCAAGCGUUAAUCGGAAUUACUGGGCGUAAAGCGUGCGCAGGCGGUUUGCUAAGACCGAUGUGAAAUCCCCGGGCUCAACCUGGGAACUGCAUUGGUGACUGGCAGGCUAGAGUAUGGCAGAGGGGGGUAGAAUUCCACGUGUAGCAGUGAAAUGCGUAGAGAUGUGGAGGAAUACCGAUGGCGAAGGCAGCCCCCUGGGCCAAUACUGACGCUCAUGCACGAAAAGCGUGGGGAGCAAAACAGGAUUAGAUACCCUGGUAGUCCACGCCCUAAACGAUGUCAACUAGUUGUUGGGGAUUCAUUUCCUUAGUAACGUAGCUAACGCGUGAAGUUGACCGCCUGGGGAGUACGGUCGCAAGAUUAAAACUCAAAGGAAUUGACGGGGUCAUA